This 2836-nucleotide ribosomal RNA is filed under the name Saccharomyces cerevisiae (brewer's yeast). RNAcentral describes it as "bacterial LSU rRNA". It matches the Rfam family "Bacterial large subunit ribosomal RNA", at positions 1 to 2580 of the family's 2925-position model. Lineage: Eukaryota; Fungi; Ascomycota; Saccharomycetes; Saccharomycetales; Saccharomycetaceae. The record is from RNAcentral.
UAAGUAGUAAAAAGUAGAAUAAUAGAUUUGAAAUAUUUAUUAUAUAGAUUUAAAGAGAUAAUCAUGGAGUAUAAUAAUUAAAUUUAAUAAAUUUAAUAUAACUAUUAAUAGAAUUAGGUUACUAAUAAAUUAAUAACAAUUAAUUUUAAAACCUAAAGGUAAACCUUUAUAUUAAUAAUGUUUUUUUUUAUUAUAUUUAUAAUAAGAAUAAUUAUUAAUAAUAAUAAACUAAGUGAACUGAAACAUCUAAGUAACUUAAGGAUAAGAAAUCAACAGAGAUAUUAUGAGUAUUGGUGAGAGAAAAUAAUAAAGGUCUAAUAAGUAUUAUGUGAAAAAAAUGUAAGAAAAUAGGAUAACAAAUUCUAAGACUAAAUACUAUUAAUAAGUAUAGUAAGUACCGUAAGGGAAAGUAUGAAAAUGAUUAUUUUAUAAGCAAUCAUGAAUAUAUUAUAUUAUAUUAAUGAUGUACCUUUUGUAUAAUGGGUCAGCAAGUAAUUAAUAUUAGUAAAACAAUAAGUUAUAAAUAAAUAGAAUAAUAUAUAUAUAUAUAAAAAUAUAUUAAAAUAUUUAAUUAAUAUUAAUUGACCCGAAAGCAAACGAUCUAACUAUGAUAAGAUGGAUAAACGAUCGAACAGGUUGAUGUUGCAAUAUCAUCUGAUUAAUUGUGGUUAGUAGUGAAAGACAAAUCUGGUUUGCAGAUAGCUGGUUUUCUAUGAAAUAUAUGUAAGUAUAGCCUUUAUAAAUAAUAAUUAUUAUAUAAUAUUAUAUUAAUAUUAUAUAAAGAAUGGUACAGCAAUUAAUAUAUAUUAGGGAACUAUUAAAGUUUUAUUAAUAAUAUUAAAUCUCGAAAUAUUUAAUUAUAUAUAAUAAAGAGUCAGAUUAUGUGCGAUAAGGUAAAUAAUCUAAAGGGAAACAGCCCAGAUUAAGAUAUAAAGUUCCUAAUAAAUAAUAAGUGAAAUAAAUAUUAAAAUAUUAUAAUAUAAUCAGUUAAUGGGUUUGACAAUAACCAUUUUUUAAUGAACAUGUAACAAUGCACUGAUUUAUAAUAAAUAAAAAAAAUAAUAUUUAAAAUCAAAUAUAUAUAUAUUUGUUAAUAGAUAAUAUACGGAUCUUAAUAAUAAGAAUUAUUUAAUUCCUAAUAUGGAAUAUUAUAUUUUUAUAAUAAAAAUAUAAAUACUGAAUAUCUAAAUAUUAUUAUUACUUUUUUUUUAAUAAUAAUAAUAUGGUAAUAGAACAUUUAAUGAUAAUAUAUAUUAGUUAUUAAUUAAUAUAUGUAUUAAUUAAAUAGAGAAUGCUGACAUGAGUAACGAAAAAAAGGUAUAAACCUUUUCACCUAAAACAUAAGGUUUAACUAUAAAAGUACGGCCCCUAAUUAAAUUAAUAAGAAUAUAAAUAUAUUUAAGAUGGGAUAAUCUAUAUUAAUAAAAAUUUAUCUUAAAAUAUAUAUAUUAUUAAUAAUUAUAUUAAUUAAUUAAUAAUAUAUAUAAUUAUAUUAUAUAUUAUAUUUUUAUAUAUAAUAUAUAUAAUAUAAACUAAUAAAGAUCAGGAAAUAAUUAAUGUAUACCGUAAUGUAGACCGACUCAGGUAUGUAAGUAGAGAAUAUGAAGGUGAAUUAGAUAAUUAAAGGGAAGGAACUCGGCAAAGAUAGCUCAUAAGUUAGUCAAUAAAGAGUAAUAAGAACAAAGUUGUACAACUGUUUACUAAAAACACCGCACUUUGCAGAAACGAUAAGUUUAAGUAUAAGGUGUGAACUCUGCUCCAUGCUUAAUAUAUAAAUAAAAUUAUUUAACGAUAAUUUUAUUAAAUUUAGGUAAAUAGCAGCCUUAUUAUGAGGGUUAUAAUGUAGCGAAAUUCCUUGGCCUAUAAUUGAGGUCCCGCAUGAAUGACGUAAUGAUACAACAACUGUCUCCCCUUUAAGCUAAGUGAAAUUGAAAUCGUAGUGAAGAUGCUAUGUACCUUCAGCAAGACGGAAAGACCCUAUGCAGCUUUACUGUAAUUAGAUAGAUCGAAUUAUUGUUUAUUAUAUUCAGCAUAUUAAGUAAUCCUAUUAUUAGGUAAUCGUUUAGAUAUUAAUGAGAUACUUAUUAUAAUAUAAUGAUAAUUCUAAUCUUAUAAAUAAUUAUUAUUAUUAUUAUUAAUAAUAAUAAUAAUAUGCUUUCAAGCAUAGUGAUAAAACAUAUUUAUAUGAUAAUCACUUUACUUAAUAGAUAUAAUUCUUAAGUAAUAUAUAAUAUAUAUUAUAUAUAUAUUAUAUAUAAUAUAAGAGACAAUCUCUAAUUGGUAGUUUUGAUGGGGCGUCAUUAUCAGCAAAAGUAUCUGAAUAAGUCCAUAAAUAAAUAUAUAAAAUUAUUGAAUAAAAAAAUAAUAUAUAUUAUAUAUAUUAAUUAUAAAUUGAAAUAUGUUUAUAUAAAUUUAUAUUUAUUGAAUAUAUUUUAGUAAUAGAUAAAAAUAUGUACAGUAAAAUUGUAAGGAAAACAAUAAUAACUUUCUCCUCUCUCGGUGGGGGUUCACACCUAUUUUUAAUAGGUGUUCACCCCUCUUCGGGGUUCCGGUUCCCUUUCGGGUCCCGGAACUUAAAAAUAAUUAUGGAAAGAAUUAAAUUAAUAUAAUGGUAUAACUGUGCGAUAAUUGUAACACAAACGAGUGAAACAAGUACGUAAGUAUGGCAUAAUGAACAAAUAACACUGAUUGUAAAGGUUAUUGAUAACGAAUAAAAGUUACGCUAGGGAUAACAGGGUAAUAUAACGAAAGAGUAGAUAUUGUAAGUUAUGUUUGCCACCUCGAUGUCGACUCAACAUUUCCUCUUGGUUGUAAAAGCUAAGAAGGGUUUGACUGU